This 428-nucleotide ribosomal RNA is filed under the name bacterium. Its description in RNAcentral is "partial 16S ribosomal RNA". It matches the Rfam family "Bacterial small subunit ribosomal RNA", at positions 355 to 776 of the family's 1533-position model. The record is from RNAcentral.
UUUCGAAUCAUUCACAAUGGGCGCAAGCCUGAUGGUGCGACGCCGCGUGAGGGAUGAAGGUCUUCGGAUUGUAAACCUCUGUCACUGGGGAGAAAACGCUUUGAGUUAAUAGUUCAAAGCCUGAUUUAACCCGGAGAGGAAGCAGUGGCUAACUCUGUGCCAGCAGCCGCGGUAAUACAGAGACUGCAAGCGUUAUUCGGAUUCACUGGGCGUAAAGGGUGCGCAGGCGGCCGUGUGUGUAAGGUGUGAAAUCCCGGGGCUCAACCCCGGAACUGCGCCUUAAACUACGUGGCUAGAGUAUUGGAGAGGGUAGUGGAAUUCACGGUGUAGCAGUGAAAUGCGUAGAUAUCGUGAGGAACACCAGAGGCGAAGGCGACUACCUGGACAAUUACUGACGCUCAGGCACGAAAGCGUGGGGAGCAAAAGGG